ACGAACGCUGGCGGCGUGCCUAACACAUGCAAGUCGAACGGGGUUAUUGGUGUAGCAAUACACUAAUAAUUUAGUGGCGAACGGGUGAGUAACACGUAGGCAACCUACCUCAAGGCGGGGGACAACCCCGGGAAACCGGGGCUAAUACCGCAUAAGACCACGGACUGGGAUGUUUGUGGUAAAAGCAGCAAUGCACCUUGGGAUGGGCCUGCGGCCUAUCAGGUAGUUGGCGGGGUAACGGCCCACCAAGCCUACGACGGGUAGCCGGUCUGAGAGGAUGGACGGCCACACUGGAACUGAGACACGGUCCAGACUCCUACGGGAGGCAGCAGUGGGGAAUUUUGCGCAAUGGGGGAAACCCUGACGCAGCGACGCCGCGUGGAGGAUGAAGGCCUUCGGGUUGUAAACUCCUUUUCUCGGGGAAAAUGGUGAUGGUACCCGAGGAAUAAGCCACGGCUAACUCUGU
RNAcentral lists this ribosomal RNA (466 nucleotides) under uncultured bacterium. RNAcentral describes it as "bacterial SSU rRNA". It matches the Rfam family "Bacterial small subunit ribosomal RNA", at positions 29 to 506 of the family's 1533-position model. The record is from RNAcentral.